CGCGGAGUGGAGCAGGUGGUAGCUCGUCAGGCUCAUAAUCUGAAGGUCGUUGGUUCAACUCCAACCUCCGCAACCA
This 76-nucleotide transfer RNA is filed under the name Bacilli bacterium. Its description in RNAcentral is "tRNA-Met". It matches the Rfam family "tRNA". From Rfam's summary of the family: Transfer RNA (tRNA) molecules are approximately 80 nucleotides in length. Their secondary structure includes four short double-helical elements and three loops (D, anti-codon, and T loops). Lineage: Bacteria; Bacillati; Bacillota; Bacilli. The record is from RNAcentral.